RNAcentral lists this unclassified non-coding RNA (423 nucleotides) under uncultured Rhodotorula. RNAcentral describes it as "sequence contains ITS2". The stretch from base 1 to 154 matches the Rfam family "5.8S ribosomal RNA". Lineage: Eukaryota; Fungi; Basidiomycota. The record is from RNAcentral.
AACUUUCGGCAACGGAUCACUUGGCUCUCCCAUCGAUGAAGAACGCAGCGAAAUGCGAUACGUAAUGUGAAUUGCAGAAUUCAGUGAAUCAUCGAAUCUUUGAACGCACCUUGCACUCUUUGGUAUUCCGAAGAGUAUGUCUGUUUGAGUGUCAUGAAACUCUCAACCCUGCUUGUUUGUAAUGAGACGAGCGUGGGCUUGGAUUAUGGCUGCUGCCGGCGUAACUGUCGACUCGGCUGAAAUAUACGAGCAACCCAUUUCUAAGAAAUAGACGGUUUGACUCGGCGUAAUAACAUAUUUCGCUGAGGACGUCACAUUCUUAAUCAUUAGUGGUGCUUCUAAUGCGACAUCUAAAUUUAAGCUUUAGACCUCAAAUCAGUCAGGACUACCCGCUGAACUUAAGCAUAUCAAUAAGCGGAGGCU